Molecule: long non-coding RNA, 728 nt
Organism: Cyclopterus lumpus (lumpfish)
Lineage: Eukaryota; Metazoa; Chordata; Actinopteri; Perciformes; Cyclopteridae
Exons: 3
Source: RefSeq, a predicted model, not a curated record
AGAAGAAGGAGGAGACAUAGAAGAAGACGAAGAAGGAGGAGGAGACGGAGAAGGAGGGAGACAGAGGAGAAGAAAAAGAAGAAGAAGCUGGAGGACCUAAUUAAUGUAGUAGUACUUGAGCCGUGGGGGAAAUACAUUCACUCAAAAGUAUUCAAGUACAACUUUGAGGUACUUUACAUGAGAACUGCGAUGUUCAGGUACUAUUUAUGUCUCCACUACAUGUCAGAGGAGGCGAGGACGAAGCUCAUAGAGAGAGAUCCACUGCAGGAGGUGGAACAUUGCAGGGAAAUGGCUGACCCAGAAUAACACACACACACACACACACACACACACACACACACACACACACACACUGAGGUCCUCCACCUUCUUCUUCGUGGCCCGGGCUGCUGAACACUUGCAGGACAUCUUCAAGUCGCCGACACCCUGAGUUUCAUCAUCAAGUCGUUCUUUGAGCAUGAAACAGAGUGGCGUGUCUUCAAAAUGGCUCUUUGGAAGCAAUCAAUCGUCCAAUUUUACAUUUAAAAAAAACACAUUAAACUUAUAAAAUACAACAUAUUGUUUAAGAUUUACAACUUUUUAAAUUAAAUAUUUUGGUGCCAUUUGGAGACAUUGCUGCAUUUAAAAUAAGAUUAACAAUUAAAAAUUAAACAAUAUAAAUUGAAACGUCGUUGUUCACUGUGACAAAGUUUUCAGAUCCUUUACUCAGGUAAACUUAUAAAAGUAUU